AUUGAACGCUGGCGGCAGGCCUAACACAUGCAAGUCGAGCGGCAGCGCGGGGGUAACUCUGGCGGCGAGCGGCGGACGGGUGAGUAACGCGUGGGAAUCUACCCUCUAGUGGGGGAUAACUCGGGGAAACUCGAGCUAAUACCGCAUAAUCUCUACGGAGGAAAGCGGGGGACCUUAGGGCCUCGCGCUGGAGGAUGAGCCCGCGUCGGAUUAGCUAGUUGGUAGGGUAAAGGCCUACCAAGGCGACGAUCCGUAGCUGGUCUGAGAGGAUGAUCAGUCACACUGGGACUGAGACACGGCCCAGACUCCUACGGGAGGCAGCAGUGGGGAAUAUUGGACAAUGGGCGCAAGCCUGAUCCAGCCAUGCCGCGUGUGUGAAGAAGGCCUUCGGGUUGUAAAGCACUUUAAGUGGGGAGGAAGGUCUGCGCGUUAAUA
RNAcentral lists this ribosomal RNA (435 nucleotides) under uncultured bacterium. RNAcentral's name for it is "bacterial SSU rRNA". It matches the Rfam family "Bacterial small subunit ribosomal RNA", at positions 29 to 465 of the family's 1533-position model. The record is from RNAcentral.